Molecule: ribosomal RNA, 492 nt
Filed under: Bacillus sp. U60/B
Lineage: Bacteria; Bacillati; Bacillota; Bacilli; Caryophanales; Bacillaceae
Description: bacterial SSU rRNA
Rfam family: Bacterial small subunit ribosomal RNA
Source: RNAcentral
UAGAGUUUGAUCAUGGCUCAGGACGAACGCUGGCGGCGUGCCUAAUACAUGCAAGUCGAGCGAACAGAAAAGGAGCUUGCUCCUUUGACGUUAGCGGCGGACGGGUGAGUAACACGUGGGCAACCUACCCUAUAGUUUGGGAUAACUCCGGGAAACCGGGGCUAAUACCGAAUAAUCUCUUUUGCUUCAUGGUGAAAGACUGAAAGACGGUUUCGGCUGUCGCUAUAGGAUGGGCCCGCGGCGCAUUAGCUAGUUGGUGAGGUAACGGCUCACCAAGGCGACGAUGCGUAGCCGACCUGAGAGGGUGAUCGGCCACACUGGGACUGAGACACGGCCCAGACUCCUACGGGAGGCAGCAGUAGGGAAUCUUCCACAAUGGGCGAAAGCCUGAUGGAGCAACGCCGCGUGAGUGAAGAAGGUUUUCGGAUCGUAAAACUCUGUUGUAAGGGAAGAACAAGUACAGUAGUAACUGGCUGUACCUGGACGGUACCU